This 640-nucleotide ribosomal RNA is filed under the name Pseudomonas protegens. RNAcentral describes it as "bacterial SSU rRNA". It matches the Rfam family "Bacterial small subunit ribosomal RNA", at positions 148 to 782 of the family's 1533-position model. Lineage: Bacteria; Pseudomonadati; Pseudomonadota; Gammaproteobacteria; Pseudomonadales; Pseudomonadaceae. The record is from RNAcentral.
GUCCGGAAACNGGCGCUAAUACCGCAUACGUCCUACGGGAGAAAGUGNGGGAUCUUCGGACCUCACGCUAUUAGAUGANCCUAGGUCGGAUUACCUAGUUGGUGAGGUAAUGGCUCACCAAGGCUACNAUCCGUAACUGGUCUGAGAGGAUGAUCAGUCACACUGGAACUGANACACGGUCCANACUCCUACGGGAGGCAGCAGUGGGGAAUAUUGGACAAUGGGCGAAAGCCUGAUCCAGCCAUGCCGCGUGUGUGAAGAAGGUCUUCGGAUUGUAAAGCACUUUAAGUUGGGAGGAAGGGCAGUUACCUAAUACGUGAUUGUUUUGACGUUACCGACAGAAUAAGCACCGGCUAACUCUGUGCCAGCAGCCGCGGUAAUACAGAGGGUGCAAGCGUUAAUCGGAAUUACUGGGCGUAAAGCGCGCGUAGGUGGUUUGUUAAGUUGAAUGUGAAAGCCCCGGGCUCAACCUGGGAACUGCAUCCAAAACUGGCAAGCUAGAGUAUGGUAGAGGGUGGUGGAAUUUCCUGUGUAGCGGUGAAAUGCGUAGAUAUAGGAAGGAACACCAGUGGCGAAGGCGACCACCUGGACUGAUACUGACACUGAGGUGCGAAAGCGUGGGGGAGCAAACAGGAUUAGA